This 1582-nucleotide small RNA is filed under the name Rattus norvegicus (Norway rat). Its description in RNAcentral is "uncharacterized LOC102546604". Lineage: Eukaryota; Metazoa; Chordata; Mammalia; Rodentia; Muridae. The record is from RNAcentral.
AAGGAAGGAAGGAAAAGCUGUCUUGAUAACUUGUUUUAGAAUGAAGGAGUAGAUAUCAGACACUGACUUGAGACACCAAGGCUGAUGAGCCCAGUGGAUCAAACGGAUGAACAGUUGCUAAACUUUGCUUGUAUCUUGCUUGGCAUCUAUCUCUUCCUGUCCUGCAGCAGCAGCACCCUGGUCCCUGUUAUUAUAAACUGCUCAGGCUAGUUUCCAGUUUUGUUUGGUUUUGGUUUUGGUUUUGGUUUUGCGGUUGCUUUGUCUUGUUUCGUUCGUGACUACUGUCACCCCAGCAAGUUCUGUUUUCUUGGUGAACCCUGAAACAGGCACCCAGGAAAAAAAAAUGUAAAGUCUGUUUGAAGGGACACCAGCUUUCAUCAUGAUCUCUGGAAGAGCUGGAAGGCUCUCCAAGUGGACUGAAGAUCACCCCGGAGGCUAGCGAUGGAGCUCAGGCUUUCCACUCAACAACUCCGUACAUGCCACGGUUCCUGGAGUGGUGCAAAGAGGAAAGAAAUGCAGAAACCAGCAGAAGGAAACAGGAAGUGAUGGGCUGAGCUCCCAGCCACCGUGUGAGAAAGGACAAGGCUCAAAAGCAACAGGGCCAAGCAUCCAUGGAGCCAAAAUAAAGUUAAUUCUCAAAAGCUGACUUCCUACAGUAGUCCGUCAGAAGGACCGGAAGUUGCUAACACAACCUCCACUGAGAGUCGUUGUGUGCUGUUUCUGUUCCCACCCAUCACUGGUUUUACCCAGUCCCACUCAACUCACAAAGUUCCAGUGAGAUGAGACUUACCAACACGUGAUAAAGAGAUAAAAAUCUCAGUGUCGCUCUAAAGCCUGGGGCGGCCACAUAUUUCACGGAAUUGGUACAGAAUGAAAUAACACGGGCAGAGUUCAAGAAGCAGCCAGGAGCCCCUUGACAAGACGAGAACUGAGAGCCACAGCGAGUGUCACCCACAAAAGGGAGUCCACAUCAGAAGGGGAAUGGCUUAGAGGUUUCCUAGUCCCCACUCAUCAACCUAGAACCCAGAAAUCAAAGAGACCAGGUGACAACAGCAAGCCAAUGACCAUUUUUGGGGGUAGGCAAAUGGAGUAGUAAGAACAGGAAAGGGGGAGAUAGAUCAGGCCAGACUCAGCUGUGGUGUCUGAUGGAGAAGAAAGGGUUGGAGCCCGGAUGUUCCUGGGAUUCUAUCAGUUUUGGGAAAAUACUUUCAGAACUGAAGGUGUCCUGUUGUCUGAUGUUGGCAGUGCUUCGCCAACAGGGUACUAGAUAAUACUCUGGGGGGAGGACCGAGGACUAGACAGCAAAGAAAGUUGGGGAGGAAGCAAGCUCCAAGUUUAGCCAGCAUUCUUUGGAUUUAACCCUGCUGCCCCUUCCUAGUCCUCUCCAUUAUGUCAGGAGGGCACAGGUCAUGUUAAUUUAAUAGGUUUUUCUGAAAGCCUUCAAGAUUAUCCAAGUCACAACUACGUGCAGAAUGAAUUAUGUAUACUCUGUUACCUUAAUGAUUUUCAUAAAUCUAUUAAACUUCUUCAUCCUUCUUCUCCAACUCUGCUGCUGUUGAUCUCUCCCUCUCUGCUUUUCCUU